ACGGGCUAUUAGCUCAGUGGUAGAGCGCGCCCCUGAUAAUUGACGGGCGAGGUCUCUGGUUCAAGUCCAGGAUGGCC
RNAcentral lists this transfer RNA (77 nucleotides) under Sesamum indicum (sesame). Its description in RNAcentral is "tRNA-Ile". It matches the Rfam family "tRNA". Rfam says of the family: Transfer RNA (tRNA) molecules are approximately 80 nucleotides in length. Their secondary structure includes four short double-helical elements and three loops (D, anti-codon, and T loops). RNAcentral also lists the same sequence under 4 other names. The record is from RNAcentral. Lineage: Eukaryota; Viridiplantae; Streptophyta; Magnoliopsida; Lamiales; Pedaliaceae.